GGUAGCGUUAUUAUUUGUGACACAACGUUGUUAUUGAAACGAAAGUAACGCUAUGAACUAAAUAUAUUGUCAAAUACUUUAAAUUGUCACGUUGUUUCGAGAUUCCUGAAUUUUGAACACCAAUUGUAAAUAAUUAUUAUCAUCUGUAUAGCUGUGGACAUUUUUUGUUUUGUUUUUAGAGCAAAGUAAUGAAUAAUAAGGGUACGACGCCUACCAAUGUGUUUGUACCUCAUACCUCGAGUGCUACUCGGAAAAGAUUUUCACCAUCGUUUCAAUUUGAUGUUUAAGCUUCAGAAAUAACAGCUGUAAAAUUUUUUUAGAAGAAACUUACCCAUACUUCUUUUAUAAAAAAAAUUCAAUUAUGUAAGAAGAAGUGAAAUAUUUUGGUUUUUGAAAUACACUGGGAAAAUCAAAAGGAUGUUUAAAAUAUGUUAACAUUUACGCAGUGAGGCAAGCAUCUAGAGUGCGAAAAACACGUAAAAGUAUAACUUAUAGUGAUUGCAUUCAUCGUGAGAUAGCUAACUCACGAUUGUCGCUUGUUGUAAUUAAGAAACCCAUUUUAAACUAGUAAAGAAACCAGUUUAUCAACUAUAUUUGUUAUCUCAAACUUACGGUUGUUAAAGAUCUGUUAAUUUUCUUUUACAUAGUGUUGAGGAAUGGUCAUCGAUUUCUCUUAUUCGUACGUUCUUCUGUAGGCCUAGUUCAGUAGUUCUUUUUUGCUCCAUGCCCCACCACCACACCUCAAAAAAUUUGAUGCACCCUUAAUAUAAAACAAAUUUGGUGUCGAAAAGAUAUAAUAAUAUAAUGUAAAAUUUUUCUUAUUGUAGCAUUUUCAAAUUGACCCACGUUCAGAAUCACUGGCCUAGUGUAUCACCGAAUCAGUAUCAUUAUUAAUAUCAACUAAAGUCUAAAGCUGCCAGCCAUUGUGAUUGUGUAUCACUAUCAGUUUAAUAUAUCCUUACAGUGUUAUAGUUAAACUCAAGAGCGAGAGAAACACUUCAACUUCAAGAAUAAUCAUGGAAGCAGAAAAUAUCGAAGAAGAACUAAAACAAACAUGUGUUGGUUGGAUUCGUCAUUUACUUUCAAGCAAGGAAGAGUGGGAUGCUUAUGUUUUAGAAAAAGUGAAAAAAAGAGAAAAUAAAACUAAAAAGACAGAAGGUGGUGAUUCACAGGAUUCCAAGAAGAAUGCUGAUGAAAGACGGUCCUCGGGAGAUGAGCCUAAAAAUUAAUAAAACAGCAAGAAAAAGCAUUUUCAUGCAAUUAUAGGAGGACAUGAACAAUCAUAACUGAAUUGUUCAACUUGCUUUAUGUAAUUUGUGUUGUUUGGCUGAUUAUGUGAAUGUGCUGAAUCACAUUUUUAAGAUUUCUCCAAACUACCGAGUUGGUAUAAAGAUACGUUAAUAUAUGAUUUUUAAUUAUUUUAGUUCUUUAUGAUAUUGUUAGACUAGUCAAAAUGUUAUGCAUUCUGUAAAAGUGUAAGUCAUCACAAGGACAGGAGUAAGAAGAUUGGUUACAUGGAAUUUGAUAUAUUAAUUGUCAUUUCUUUAUUGUUCAAAAAUGAAUCAAUACAUGUAUUAUUCUUCUUUUUGAUGUACUUUAAAGAAAUGUCUCCUUAGACAAAAGUAGUUCUUCUAACCAUAAAAGAAAAAGUAAAGCCUAUUCAGUGCUGUUUGAGAUUUUGUUACAUUGUUUUCAUAGCACUAUACAAUUUAUACCUCACUUUACAGUAUUAUGCAUAUACCUACUUAUCCCUUGUAUACACUAUUACACUUAUAUACCCCUUAUGUAUGCACUAUCAUGUACGAAUACCUGUAGCUAAAAAUUUUAAAACUUUAGUUCACUGUAUCACAGAUAGUUACAUAUUUACUGUUUAUUAAUGAACCUUCGUGUAUAACUAAUACAUUAACACUAUCAGAUAUUCAUAACUUUGUAUUUGCACACCUUCUGUUUAUUGGUCAACUCUUACUAUUGCAUAAUAUCAACAGUAUUAUUCAUCUAUAUCCCUAAGUAUUGAUAUUUGUAUAUGUUAUAGUCUUGUUUUUCUGUUUGCUCACAUUGUCACUUUCACAUGUGUAAAUUAUAUUAUAUUAGUGUGCUUUAGUAUGAAAAGAUGUUGAACAUACAUUAUCACAUCUGUACAUUUUUGCCUGUACACUGACUAACCUUUUUUUUUAUUAAUACCCCUCCCCCUACACUUACGUAUAACCACUUAAUUUAUCAGCACAUGCAGAAGUGACAGAUCUUUUGGUGUUUCAAGAGAUUUGGUGGGGUUUAAACAUGCAAAUAUAAUCAAAUCAUAGUUAGCAUCCAAGACAAUAGCUAAAAACAAGGAUCUUUCAAACUUUCAAAGGGGCAUGAUAGGGGCACUUGUCUAGCCAAAAAAGCAUCAUCAUGAAAAAUCAUUACUUUCGGUGUUCAAGGACACGUGUGAUCAGAUACUAUUGACAGCAGUAAUUAAAAAAUAACAAUAAUCUUUCUUGAAUAAAAACUGGGGCUAUCAACUUCUGCUCACUGAUUAAGUUGAAAGACAAGGAUCAGUUGUAAAGUAUAACAAAUUUCAUACUGUCUCCCAAUUGAAUGGAUUCUCUCAAGUGGUUUUGAUUUGACUAUUUCAAUAAUAUUAUAAAAAUCUUUUAUGACAUCCAGUCCAAACAUUACUUACAUUGGUGUAGACAGAAAAGCAUGGAUUUACUGAUGCUAAAAAUACAGAUUGUGGAUACAGACUGGAAGUAUCUACCAUGGUAUUUCAUCCUUUUCUGUACUCAUGGUAAGAGUAAACGUGUGAAGAAAACAAAUGAAACACUUCACCCUACUUGUGUUUAUUUUCACAUUGUCAGCUACUGACUCAAGGUGUAUAAUAAAGUGAGGAAAAUUCUCAGGGCAGAUACUGAAUGAUUUGACUCCUUUAGAAAAGCAAUUAACAUCCAGAAUGUACCUUAAUGUUUUUGCUGUUUGUAUGCAACUUGCAAUAUGAUGGAAAGAGUUCUCUUAAAAUGAUAAUUCAUAUUGGCGGUAUUGUUAGAACAUAAUUAUGAAUUCAAUCACUCUUCUGGACCAGCACCAUCGUUGGAUUUCAAUCCAAUUGAAAAUCUUCGGGACAGACUGAAAUGUUACACGUGUCAUCCUAAUCCUCUUCAAUACCAGUGAACCAAUUACAUAUUAUAUAGUUGAUAAAAGGCACCUUCUACUAUUCCGAAGUUAGUCUAUUAUUUUGCUGUAGGUGGUCCAUGUUGAUAAAGGUGUAGGUUUUAAUGGGUUAGCCCAUCAGUGUAUCAUCUCUAACGUUUUACUGUUUAUUUGUCAACUUAUAAUUGUAACAGCAAUAUGUUCACGCUAUGAAACACACAUUCUUCUCAUCACAGAAUAUUUUCUUAGUCUACCUUUACUACUGCUUUGUUUCUACUUUUUCACAUGUGAUGUUGUUUGUAUCUUACACUUGUAUUCUCAGUUUUAGUAAUUGUUUGGAAUAAGGAAUAAUAUAAUAUUGUUGUAACAACUGUUAACAUAAUUUGUCUUAAUAAUCAAUGUCAUUAAAAAAUGUUAUGUCUUUCA
Limulus polyphemus (Atlantic horseshoe crab) is the source of this 3552-nucleotide long non-coding RNA. RefSeq lists it as uncharacterized. The record is from RefSeq and is a predicted model, not a curated record. The transcript is spliced from 2 exons. Lineage: Eukaryota; Metazoa; Arthropoda; Merostomata; Xiphosura; Limulidae.